Molecule: long non-coding RNA, 4765 nt
Organism: Anolis carolinensis (green anole)
Lineage: Eukaryota; Metazoa; Chordata; Lepidosauria; Squamata; Anolidae
Exons: 5
Source: RefSeq, a predicted model, not a curated record
CAGAGUAUGUUGCUAGAGAAGGGCCAAUCUUUCACAAAACUACAAAUCCCCCAAUCCCAUAGCAUGAAGCCAUGGCAGUUAAUGUGAUCUCAAACUGCUAUGAUUCUGUAGUGUGGAUAAAGCCUUAGAAGGUUUGUUCUUCUUCUUCCUUUUACCUGGAAUGAAAGCAACUGAAACAGUCAGAGUCACAUCUCUCUGUUCCUGUCUCUAAAUGAUUGUGCAGAAGGUCUUCAGAAGAAACCUGCACAUGGUGAACUUUACUGCAUAAAAAGAAUGUGAAGCCUUGUACAGAUUGACACCUCCAAGCUUUCCACACAUUCCGCCCUUCCAUUUGCCACAACAAUGAGGCAAUUUGACUUCUUGGCAACAUGAUUGAAGAAUGCAGAACCCAGAUCUAGCAGCAGAAGCAGCUACAAUCAGGAGUCACAAAUGAUCCAUGGACAUUCCUUGGGAUCACCACAAACAAGCUUUCUAAUGUAUCAUUUUGCAACCAUAGAAUCACUGAGUAGGGAUGGACCCCAAAGAAAAACAUCCAAAGCUCAAGCAUGCCUAAGAGACAACCUCCAAGGAAGGAGGACCUGUCAUCUUCUAAGAUGCCUGCCCUACAUGGAAAGAGACCAAUAACAGUGUGACAAGUCCAUCCUUUCCCAAGUUUCAGCCUGUCCAAGAAAGCGAAGAUAUGUAAGCAGAUCGAUGGCCAUGCCUCUCCCUCCCUCCCUCUUCCGCUCUGAUUGGCUGAGAGGCAUGCCAACAUGGCUUCUCCUCUCAGAGGGGCUACAGCUGCAUCCGAAGACAUCAGAAACAAACGAAAAAAGUUCUUCUGUGUUUUCUGUAUGGUGAAAAUUCACUAAAAGCAACCAGCAACCAAAAGGAAUAAUAUCAGCCUUUGCAGGCGCAGAGAAACACUGCGAAGAUGGGAGAUGAUGGCAACAAUUCUGUCAAAACAUAAUUCAAGGGGCCAGAAAAGUAGCAGGAGAAUGACUGUCAGGAGGAGGAGGUGGACAAAAUAAAAUAAAAACCAUCCUAGUUUGCUCCUCAUGAAAGAAAACUUCAGUCUGCUUCACAUCAUCUCCUUGAGAGUAUUAAAAAGAAAAACUAGGCCAUCCUAUACAGAGUGCAUUAUCUCUGGAAAUCUUGUAUUCAGAAGAUGGGAGCAGAAAGUUCAUAAAUAACAGUGCCAAAAAAGAGAAAGGGGAGAGAAAGAGAGAGAAAAGAAAAGGAGAAGGGGGGUAGAAGGAGUGGAUGUGUAUCCAACAGCAUUUGGAUGGCAUCCAAGUCAUCAAUGCUGCUGUCAUCUUCUGCGCAUAAUCAGAAAUCCCUUUCAGUGAUGUGGGAAAAAGAUCUCUGUAUUGUCAGCUAAAAUGCCCAUUGUGAAGAAACCGUGUGCCACAGCAGCUCCGCAGAAGGUCGGGGAGGAAUGUGAACCACGGCUUUGGAGGGGACGGGCCAUGAAAAAAGAGAGGGUUGACAGGCUUCACAGAAACUCAGCAUCCUCCACAGCGGAGCUCAUCUGUAUGCCUCAAAAUGUUUUUGAAGCCUCUCUUUAUCAGUCCUCCAAACAUCUAGUGUGUGGCGCAGCUAGUUGUGCUCUCUCUCCGUCUUACACUAAUGCACUCCCUGAGCAUAUUUUGGUAUUCAUGCCAAAAUAUUCAGUGGGCUACAGAGUACGUGGCUAUUAGAAGACGUUAACUACACCAAAAUUGUUAAUUAGGUUUUUAAAAAGAGAAACAUGUGUAUUGAUUGUUUGGAGAGAUCCAUUUGGGGAUAGUUUAAGGAGGAAUGUUUAAACUUUGGACAUUAUCACUUGGGACUCCUAAAAUGGGUUCUGCCAUCACAAAUCUGUCUUGCUUAAGACUGGAGUAGGCUUACUUAGCCCCAGUUCUUAUGUCUGCUUUACAUUAGCUCUUAGUUACAUUUUACAGCAUGUUAUAAGUUAUAUUUAUAUUAUCUACAAUGAGCUACCAUAGGAUUUUUUUUUUUUUGGCCAAAAGGCAGCACAGAGACACACUAUAGAAUAACAAACAUUGUUUUCUCUGAACUGUGCAGAUGUCAAAUCUUGGAGAGCCCUCUGGUUUAAAAGUUUAAGAUAAAACUCAAGGAUCAUUUUGAAAAAUGACAACAUACACUUGCAGUGACCAUGUUCAACAAGCUUAGGCCAAAUUAAGGGGAAACAGCAGUGAGAAACAUUGAAACAUUGCCUUGUCAGACUGGAUGAGAGCGAACAAAUUGAAACUGAAUCCAGACAAGACAGAGGUCCUCCUGGUCAGUCGUAGGGCCGAACAGGGAAUAGGGUUACAGCCUGUGCUGGAUGGGGUCACACUCCCCCUGAAGACACAGGUUCGCAGUCUGGGGGUUCUCCUGGACUCAUCAUUGAGCCUGGAACCUCAGAUCUCAGCGGUGGCCAGGGGAGCACUUGCACAACUAAGACUUGUGCGCCAGCUGUACCCGUACCUUGGGAAGUCUGACUUGGCCACGGUGGUCCAUGCUCUGGUACAUCCCGUUUGGAUUACUGCAACAAGCUCUACAUGGGACUGCCUUUGAAGAUGGCCCGGAAACUCCAACUAGUACAACCGGCGUCAGUCAGAUUAAUAACUGGUGCAGCAUACAGGGAGCGUACCAUCCCCUGCUAAGCCAGCUUUACUGGCUGCCGAUAUGCUACCGAGCCCAAUUCAAAGUGCUGGUUUUGACCUAUAAAGCCCUAAAUGGUCUUGGCCCGAUUUACUUAUCCGAACGUAUCUCCUCUUAUGAGCCAUCUAGAACUCUAAGAUCAUCCGGAGAGGCCCUGCUCUCGGCCCCACCGGCCUCGCAAGCGCGUCUGGUGGGAAUGAGGGACAGGGCCUUCUCGGUGGUGGCUCCCCGGCUGUGGAACACCCUCCCUAGCAACAUCCAACAAACCUCAACUCUUCUGGGCUUUAGAAAGGCUUUAAAGACAUGGCUGUGUGCCCAAGCGUUCAAUGAAUAAUCACCUAAGUCGACAUGGUCUGAAUCAAGGUUUAAGCACGAGGUCCUGGAUGAAUGGUUUCAAUCACACAGAUGUUUUAAAUUUUAUAAUGUGUUUUAAUAGUGUUUUAUUAAUUGAUUUGUAUGUAUUGUUUUGCUUUUAAGGUAAAGGUAAAGGUUUCCCCUGACGUUAAGUCCAGUCAUGACCAACUCUGGGGGUUGGUGCUCAUCUCCAUUUCUAAGCCGAAGAGCCAGCGUUGUCCAUAGACAUCUCCAGGUCAUGUGGCCGGCAUGACUGCAUGGAGCACCAUUACCUUCCUGCCGGAGCAGUACCUAUUGAUCUACUCACAUUUGCAUGUUUUCGAACUGCUAGGUUGGCAGGAGCUGGGGCUAACAGUGGGUGCUCAUUCCACUCCCGGGAUUUGAACCGACUUUUUGGUCUGCAAGUUCAGCAGCUCAGCGCUUUAACACACUGUGCCACCAGGGGCCCCUGUUUUGCUUUUAAAGACUGUAUUUUGGGCAUUGAAUUUUGCCGAUCUUUGUAAGCUGCCCUGAGUCCCCUUGGGUGAGAAGAGUGGGAUAAAAAUGCAGGUAAAUAAAUAAAUAAAUAAUAUCCUGAUGACGACAUGCACAGGAGUAAAUAAUUGGGCCUUUUCCUCUAGUGCAGAACAACAAUAUUCAGUUUGAGAUGGAUCAAGCAGAGUUAAUGUGACGCCAUUCCACAUUGACUUGCAUUGCAUAUUGGCCAUUGAUGUAUAUGCGUAUUGCCCAUAAAGUUGCCUUAUCACUGAAACAUGUUUUGACCUGGUUCUAGGCAUGUCACCCAAUACCAGUUUGGUCUGGAUUCCAUGUGUUCUUUUUAAAAAUAAAAAAUAACAACUCACUGAUUCCUGUAGCAGCUGUCAUCUAUAGGAUGUUUUUCCUAGAUUUUGUUGCUGGUUUUGGUGGGUUUUUUAUUUUUUUUAAAAAAACAAAACAUUUGCCUGUAGAAAUACAAAAAGCGUAAUGACUGAACUGAAGAUACAAUAGCAUGUUCAGCCAUGAAUGAAAGAGAAAAUGGCAGACCACCACCUUAUAGGUUAUUGAUUCACUCAAGGGAGCAGCAGCCAUGAGUUUGCAAGGCCUGAACAAGGUUCUUGAUGACUGAGGCACUCACAUCUCUCUUAUUCAUAGAACAACUUCAGGUGGAGCACAAUGGGUAACUCCACAUCAAAACACAGACCUUAACUUCUUGCCUGUAUCAAAGUAGAAAAUCACGGUCAAAAGUAGUAAGUGUGUCAGCCACUCGGAAAACAGCACUGACUAAUUUGGAAGUCUAUGACGUUGCAUUUCUUGAGAUACCAGCUAGCUGCCUACUCCAUGUGAAUGGUGUGAAACCAUUAACUGUUAUUUCAGUAGUUGAUGGAUCUAACACUUCUUCUUUUCACUCAGCCUGUAAUCUCCCUCUUGUAGCUACAAAGACACAAUGGUUAAUGAAACAGACUACAUUUUUGGAUGCUUUGAUUUGUUCUUCAUCUCCUCGUUUUUCUAUCACCAUGCCUGGAGAAUGUAAAUGACACUUCAUAUCACUUAGGCACCAGUUUUGGAAAAUCUUUUCUAUUAUGUCUAAUACAGAAGUUAUAGACUAGAAUCCUGUUGGUAUCAUGAACAUGUGCAAGACUUCUUCAAUAUGCAAUUGUACAUUUUUUGGAUAUUGGGCAAUAGCUGUAUUUGGUUUAUGGUUUAAUAAGUGAGAUUCUAUAUAUGCAACUUAUUUAUAUGGACCUUCAUCCUAUUGUAGUCCUGACUAGAACCGCUGAAUAAAUUGGAUUUUCUUAUGUGUUCA